GGAGAGGUGGCAGAGUGGUCGAAUGUACUUGACUCGAAAUCAAGCGAUGGGGCAACCUAUCCGUGGGUUCGAAUCCCACCCUCUCCGCCA
This 90-nucleotide transfer RNA is filed under the name Zoogloea ramigera. RNAcentral describes it as "tRNA-Ser". It matches the Rfam family "tRNA". From Rfam's summary of the family: Transfer RNA (tRNA) molecules are approximately 80 nucleotides in length. Their secondary structure includes four short double-helical elements and three loops (D, anti-codon, and T loops). RNAcentral also lists the same sequence under 4 other names. The record is from RNAcentral. Lineage: Bacteria; Pseudomonadati; Pseudomonadota; Betaproteobacteria; Rhodocyclales; Zoogloeaceae.